ACCGGGCGUGGUGGUGCACGCCUGUAAUCCCAGCUACUUGGGAGGCUGAGGCAGGAGAAUUGCUUGAACCUGGGAGGUGGAGGUUGCGGUGAGAGCCGAGAUCAUGCCACUGCACUCCAGCCUGGGUGACAGAGCAAGACUCUGUCUCAA
Molecule: unclassified non-coding RNA, 150 nt
Organism: Papio anubis (olive baboon)
Lineage: Eukaryota; Metazoa; Chordata; Mammalia; Primates; Cercopithecidae
Rfam family: Metazoan signal recognition particle RNA
About the family: The signal recognition particle (SRP) is a universally conserved ribonucleoprotein. It is involved in the co-translational targeting of proteins to membranes.
Source: Ensembl